AUUUGUUUGAAGGGGAUUCAUCUGGAAUUUUGGACUGAUGUCCCACAAUACAAGCUAUAAGCUCCCAGACACCACUAAAGUUGAUUUGAAUGCUAGGAAAAAACAUCUUAUUAGCAAGAUCAGUUCAGUAGUGGAACUAAUUACUAAAUUGUAUUUAGUCCCCUUUGUUUGACAUGUUUGGUUUCCAGGCCCAUUCCAAAUCUAUGAUCAGCAUGUCUCUUGUGUGUAUGACCUGGCCCCAAUGGCCCCAAUGAAUUCAGUAAGAGGAAAAUAGAUGUAAUUUACACUGCAAUUGGAUACCUGACGUUGUUAAACAUCCCCCCCCCCCCAACUGCUUUUGGUGAAUUUCUCAUAGUGCCAUUUGCUACUCAAGAGGUUGGAGGGAUAAAUCAUGUACAAAGGGCAGUUUGAAAGCCAUUGUUUUUUGAAGACAAUCCAAAAUCACGUUCUAGGUAAAUUAUCCUGAACUGGUGCCUGGUGGCUCAGGUAGACAUUGGGUUGGAAUUUAGCAAGUCUUUGUUUGAGACCCAAGUGCUGCUGCAUGGCAGAGCGAGCUGAGCAAGCUCCAGCUGCUUGAUGGGGACAUGAACCCCAAGGGCCGUCCCCUAGAUGAUGGUGAUGUUACUGGCUAAACCUUUCAACCUGGAAGCGCCUUAAAUGAUGCCUCCAGCUUGAAUAGGAUGGGAACUUGGGCCAAAAACUGAUGUAUUAAUUAAAAUUAAUGCAGUGUACCAUGAUAAAAAUGAUUUGGUUGUUGAAUCUACAGAGAUUGUUCUAAUAUUGGUUUACAGUUCAUAAUCUAAAAGGUUCAGAUAAAUAUAAAAAAGAUUAAGAACUCUUAAUCUUUUAAGAUUAAGAUUUAAGAUUAAGAGAUCCAAGAUGGCACCGCCGAAGGCUGCCUCAGUGAAAUGCUCUCUAAUGGUUUCUUUAUUUUUCGUUAUUCUCUGCGACUCACUAUGGAUUUCUUACUCAUGAGACCAUCUGCUAAAAAUUAAGCAACGUUUCUUUAAGAAGCAGCUUUCUGUGAUCUCACACCCCCCCGUCUUUACAAACGCGGAGGAGAUUCUAACACAGGAAGAAGCAAUUUCCCCGGAGCCAUGGAUUACCAAAAAAACCAAACUGAAGAAGCGAAGAAAGAGAGCCGCCCUAUGCUUCUCUGAAACCUAGUUAAACGAAUCAAUUGAAGAUAGCAGCCUGCAUAUCCCAGGGUUUCAGAUUCAACGAUCAGACAGAAUUGCAGAAACAUCUGGUAAAAAGAAGGGAUAUAUGCUUAUAUAUCAACUACAGUUGGUCUCAGGAUAUAACUAUAAUAUAUAAGUUCUGUGAUGAAAACCUAGAGACAUUAAUUAUCAACUGCAAACCAUACUAUUCGCCUCGUGAAUUUUACUCAUUUCUUCUAAUUGCUGUUUAUGUCCCACAACAAGCCUGUGUAAACAAGGCAUUACGAACUCUAGCUGACCAAAUUAUGGAGGCUGAAGCCAAAUACCCUGAUUUACUGGCCAUUAUUUUGGAAGAUCUAAACAAGGCAAACUUAAGGAAAGAGCUACCAAAAUACUUUCAGCAUUUCAAUUGUCUCACUAGAGGCAAGAAUACUUUAGACCAUUGCUACACAACACUAAAAGAUGCUUAUUGAUCCUUACCACGAGCAGCUGUGGGACACUCUGAUCAUUGCAUGAUUCAUCUUGUACCUGCUUACCGGCAAAGACUUAAAACCACCAACACACCAACAAUUAAAUCAGUGAAGACCUGGACGGAGGAGGCAAAGUUAAAGCUACAGGCCUGCCUUGACUGCACUGAUUGGAAUGUUUUCAAAAGUACCUCUGCAGACUUAGAUGAACUCACAGAGACUGUAACAUCAUAUGUCAGCUUCUGUGAAGACCUAUGUGUACCCACCAGGAACUUGCGAAUAUACAGUAACAACAAACCUUGGUUCACAGCUAAACUUAAGCUGCUACAUCAUUCCAAAGAGGAAGCCUACAGAAAAGGUGAUAAAAUGCUGUACAAUCAGGCCAGAAAUGUAUUAACAAGGGAGAUCAGAGCAGCAAAAAGAAGCUACUCUGAAAAGCUAAGGAAUCAGUUCUCAACAAAUGAACUAGCAAACAUGUAAAAAACUCUUAAAAAUAUCACCGGCUAUGGCAAACCUUCCCAGACUGAAGGAAAUCAGCAACUGGCAGAUGACCUGAACGUGUUUUACUGCAGGGUUGAAAGAAAACUACAGCCACCUAUCUCCACAACCCCCAUCUUAGACACACCAACAACAGCCAAGCCUCUUACAACUGACCCCAUCCCAUUGGGUUCACAACCCCUAGUGAUCACAGAAAAGGAAGUGCAAGACCUAUUUCACAGACAAAAGCCAGGAAAAGCUCCAGGCCCAGACAAGAUAACUCCUUCUUGCUUAAAAGUCUGUGCUAACCAAUUGGCCCCCAUCUUCACCCGUAUCUUCAGUAAAUCACUAGAGAUGUGCUAUGUUCCUCCUUGCUUCAAACACUCUACUAUCAUCCCAGUGCCGAAGAAGCCCACCAUCAAGGAACUGAAUGACUACAGACCAGUUGCUCUAACAUCUGUAGUCAUGAAAACCUUUGAAAGGCUAGUGCUGUCCCACUUGAAAACCAUCACGGAUCCGCUGUUAGACCCCUUGCAAUUUGCAUACCAAGCAAAUAGAUCGAUAGA
Pantherophis guttatus is the source of this 2670-nucleotide non-coding RNA. Lineage: Eukaryota; Metazoa; Chordata; Lepidosauria; Squamata; Colubridae. The record is from RefSeq and is a predicted model, not a curated record.